RNAcentral lists this ribosomal RNA (251 nucleotides) under uncultured prokaryote. RNAcentral describes it as "partial 16S rRNA". It matches the Rfam family "Bacterial small subunit ribosomal RNA", at positions 525 to 775 of the family's 1533-position model. The record is from RNAcentral.
ACAGAGGUGGCGAGCGUUGUUCGGAUUUACUGGGCGUAAAGGGUGCGUAGGUGGUUUCGUAUGUCGGAUGUGAAAGCCCGCUGCUCAACGGCGGAAAUGCAUUCGAAACUGCGGAACUGGAGUGCAGGAGGGGAGAGCGGAAUACUCGGUGUAGCGGUGAAAUGCGUUGAUAUCGAGUAGAACACCGGUGGCGUAGGCGGCUCUCUGGAAUGCAACUGACACUGAGGCACGAAAGUCAGGGGAGCAAACAG